CUGAACCCAUGUCAAACAUCAGACAGAAUGAGAAAAGAAUGAGAUAAGAUGAAGUGGAGUGAAACGGAGGGAUAAAAUAAAGAUGAAAGAAGGCGAAGAGAUAGAAAAGUGAGUGAUGGUCACCCUGCAUCAAAGCAUGGAAAGUAGUCACAUCCGAAAUAGACGGAAUGAUGGAUAGAGCAAGGAUCCAGAGAUACUGAAGAAAGGUCGCUCGCAUCUCUCACAAAAAAAACAAAUGGGCGAAUCAUACUCUCACCCAAAAUGUACAUCAAGAUGAAUCUCAAGAAUAAGCUCCCAUACGAGCU
Molecule: long non-coding RNA, 305 nt
Filed under: Vitis vinifera (wine grape)
Lineage: Eukaryota; Viridiplantae; Streptophyta; Magnoliopsida; Vitales; Vitaceae
Description: long non-coding RNA (VVIN_LNC008216)
Source: RNAcentral